UGGGGAAUCUUGCACAAUGGGGGCAACCCUGAUGCAGCGACGCCGCGUGAGCGAUGAAGCCCUUCGGGGCGUAAAGCUCUUUCGACCGGAACGAUAAUGACGGUACCGGGAGAAGAAGCUGCGGCUAACUACGUGCCAGCAGCCGCGGUAAUACGUAGGCAGCAAGCGUUGUUCGGAGUUACUGGGCGUAAAGAGUGCGUAUGCGGUUUUCUAAGUUCGGGGUGAAAUCUCCCGGCUUAACUGGGAGGGUGCGCCGAAGACUGGGAAGCUGGAGUGUGGGAAAGGCAGGCGGAAUUCCUGGUGUAGCGGUGAAAUGCGUAGAUAUCAGGAGGAACACCGGCGGUGUAGACGGCUUGCUAGACCAUAACUGACGCUGAGGCACGAAAGCGUGGGUAGCAAACA
RNAcentral lists this ribosomal RNA (402 nucleotides) under uncultured bacterium. RNAcentral describes it as "bacterial SSU rRNA". It matches the Rfam family "Bacterial small subunit ribosomal RNA", at positions 355 to 774 of the family's 1533-position model. The record is from RNAcentral.